Molecule: transfer RNA, 72 nt
Filed under: Persicirhabdus sediminis
Lineage: Bacteria; Pseudomonadati; Verrucomicrobiota; Verrucomicrobiia; Verrucomicrobiales; Verrucomicrobiaceae
Rfam family: tRNA
About the family: Transfer RNA (tRNA) molecules are approximately 80 nucleotides in length.
Source: Rfam by way of RNAcentral
GGGCUCGUAUUUCAAUGGAUAGAAUGGCGGUUUCCGAAGCCGCAGAUCCAGGUUCGACUCCUGGCGAGCCUA